This 76-nucleotide transfer RNA is filed under the name Aeriscardovia sp. RNAcentral describes it as "tRNA-Thr". It matches the Rfam family "tRNA". Rfam says of the family: Transfer RNA (tRNA) molecules are approximately 80 nucleotides in length. Their secondary structure includes four short double-helical elements and three loops (D, anti-codon, and T loops). The record is from RNAcentral. Lineage: Bacteria; Bacillati; Actinomycetota; Actinomycetes; Bifidobacteriales; Bifidobacteriaceae.
GCCGUUUUAGCUCAGCUGGUAGAGCGUCUCUCUCGUAAAGAGAAGGUCAACAGUUCAAGCCUGUUAAACGGCUCCA